This 253-nucleotide long non-coding RNA is filed under the name Equus caballus (horse). RNAcentral's name for it is "lncRNA (ENSECAG00000045763.1)". Lineage: Eukaryota; Metazoa; Chordata; Mammalia; Perissodactyla; Equidae. The record is from RNAcentral.
CUCUGCUUCAAUUCCUCACUAAUUACAUACCUCAAACCUAAGUUUCUUUGUCCUGUCAUUCCUCACAAAUUUAUCGUUUCUUCGCAUAGAAGAUAUACAUACUGCCUGCUGUGUUCCCUCGCCAAGCGUCAUUGCUCUAUGAUCUCCAAUACGUUGCUGAGACAGCGGGAUAGGGGCAAAACGAAUGGAAACUCUGGAAAGUCUCCACAAUCAACUGAAAAGCUGGGUAAAGAGAGGAGAAACAUCAGAGCAC